RNAcentral lists this ribosomal RNA (460 nucleotides) under uncultured bacterium. RNAcentral describes it as "partial 16S ribosomal RNA". It matches the Rfam family "Bacterial small subunit ribosomal RNA", at positions 338 to 795 of the family's 1533-position model. The record is from RNAcentral.
CCUACGGGCGGCAGCAGUGAGGAAUAUUGGUCAAUGGGCGCGAGCCUGAACCAGCCAAGUAGCGUGAAGGAUGACUGCCCUACGGGUUGUAAACUUCUUUUAUAAGGGAAUAAAGUGAGGCACGUGUGCCUUUUUGUAUGUACUUUAUGAAUAAGGAUCGGCUAACUCCGUGCCAGCAGCCGCGGUAAUACGGAGGAUCCGAGCGUUAUCCGGAUUUAUUGGGUUUAAAGGGAGCGUAGAUGGGUUGUUAAGUCAGUUGUGAAAGUUUGCGGCUCAACCGGAAAAUUGCAAUUGAUACUGGCAGGCUUGAGGACAGUUGAGGUAGGCGGAAUGUAUGGUGUAGCGGUGAAAUGCUUAGAUAUCACGCAGAACUCCGAUUGCGAAGGCAGCUUACUAAGCUGCCACUGACAUUGAUGCUCGAAAGUGUGGGUAGCAAACAGGAUUAGAUACCCGGGUAGUC